GGGAGGCAGCAGUGAGGAAUAUUGGUCAAUGGGCGCUAGCCUGAACCAGCCAAGUAGCGUGAAGGAUGACUGCCCUAUGGAUUGUAAACUUCUUUUAUAUGGGAAUAAAGUGCAGUAUGUAUACUGCUUUGCAUGUACCUUAUGAAUAAGGAUCGGCUAACUCCGUGCCAGCAGCCGCGGUAAUACGGAGGAUCCGAGCGUUAUCCGGAUUUAUUGGGUUUAAAGGGAGCGUAGGCGGGUUGUUAAGUCAGUUGUGAAAGUUUGCGGCUCAACCGUAAAAUUGCAGUUGAUACUGGCAUCCUUGAGUACAGUAGAGGUAGGCGGAAUUCGUGGUGUAGCGGUGAAAUGCUUAGAUAUCACGAAGAACUCCGAUUGCGAAGGCAGCCUGCUGGACUGUAACUGACGCUGAUGCUCGAAAGUGUGGGUAUCAAACAGGAUUAGAUACCCUGGU
Molecule: ribosomal RNA, 451 nt
Filed under: uncultured bacterium
Lineage: Bacteria
Description: bacterial SSU rRNA
Rfam family: Bacterial small subunit ribosomal RNA
Source: RNAcentral